AUUAGUUCUGGCUGCUUUGUUAAUGUGGUAGGAUCCGAGACCCUGUAAUGGGUUACAUAGGCUUUCCUACUCAACUCCUAUUCCGUCACGUCCUCGUCGUGCAGAGUGGUAACCUGAUUCACCGUAAAUCCAAGCUUGAGUAAACGGGCCAGUCCCAACCCCUUGGGCGGAUGGUGGAGCACGGCUGAACAGGAGGGG
Molecule: non-coding RNA, 198 nt
Organism: Anopheles maculatus
Lineage: Eukaryota; Metazoa; Arthropoda; Insecta; Diptera; Culicidae
Source: Rfam